AACGAACGCUGGCGGCAUGCCUAACACAUGCAAGUCGAGCGAACAGACGAGGAGCUUGCUCCUCUGACGUUAGCGGCGGACGGGUGAGUAACACGUGGAUAACCUACCUAUAAGACUGGGAUAACUUCGGGAAACCGGAGCUAAUACCGGAUAAUAUAUUGAACCGCAUGGUUCAAUAGUGAAAGACGGUUUUGCUGUCCCUUAUAGAUGGAUCCGCGCCGCAUUAGCUAGUUGGUAAGGUAACGGCUUACCAAGGCAACGAUGCGUAGCCGACCUGAGAGGGUGAUCGGCCACACUGGAACUGAGACACGGUCCAGACUCCUACGGGAGGCAGCAGUAGGGAAUCUUCCGCAAUGGGCGAAAGCCUGACGGAGCAACGCCGCGUGAGUGAUGAAGGUCUUCGGAUCGUAAAACUCUGUUAUUAGGGAAGAACAAAUGUGUAAGUAACUAUGCACGUCUUGACGGUACCUAAUCAGAAAGCCACGGCUAACUACGUG
This 497-nucleotide ribosomal RNA is filed under the name uncultured bacterium. RNAcentral describes it as "partial 16S ribosomal RNA". It matches the Rfam family "Bacterial small subunit ribosomal RNA", at positions 29 to 507 of the family's 1533-position model. The record is from RNAcentral.